AGAGGCCCAAGUUGAUUGACAUCGGCGUAAAGCGUGGUUAAGGCCAAAAAUGAAACUAAAGCCGAACACCUUCAGAGCUGUUAUACGCAUCCGAAGGCAAGAAGUUCAACCACGAAGGUGGCUUUAUAACCCCUGAACCCACGAAAGCUAAGAUACAAACUGGGAUUAGAUACCCCACUAUGCCUAGCCAUAAACAUUGGUAGCACAUUACACCCACUACCCGCCUGGGAACUACGAGCAUCA
This 243-nucleotide ribosomal RNA is filed under the name Perca flavescens (yellow perch). RNAcentral's name for it is "partial 12S ribosomal RNA". The record is from RNAcentral. Lineage: Eukaryota; Metazoa; Chordata; Actinopteri; Perciformes; Percidae.